CUAAGGCUCCAGAGGAAGCCACGGCUAACUCUGUGCCAGCAGCCGCGGUAAUACAGAGGCGGCAAGCGUUGUUCGGAAUUAUUGGGCGUAAAGAGCACGUAGGCGGCCAUGCAAGUCAGUUGUGAAAGCCUUCCGCUUAACGGAAGAAUGCCAGCUGAUACUACAGGGCUUGAGUACGGGAGGGGAGAGUGGAACUUCUGGUGGAGCGGUGAAAUGCGUAGAUAUCAGAAGGAACGCCGGCGGCGAAAGCGACUCUCUGGCCCGAAACUGACGCUGAGUGUGCGAAAGCUAGGGGAGCAAACGGGAUUAGAUACCCCGGUAGUCCUAGCCGUAAA
Molecule: ribosomal RNA, 335 nt
Filed under: uncultured Planctomycetales bacterium
Lineage: Bacteria; Pseudomonadati; Planctomycetota; Planctomycetia; Planctomycetales
Description: bacterial SSU rRNA
Rfam family: Bacterial small subunit ribosomal RNA
Source: RNAcentral